Gallus gallus (chicken) is the source of this 1783-nucleotide long non-coding RNA. NCBI's taxonomy places the organism in Eukaryota, Metazoa, Chordata, Aves, Galliformes, Phasianidae. The record is from Ensembl.
UUGUAAUGCUUUUUUUAUUAAUAUUUGAAAAAACUGUGGCAUUCUCAUAUUAAAGAGACCCAGGGUCCACCCUUCUCUUGGCUCAUUUAAGGGCUAGCCUUCAAUGGGAGAACGUCUUCUGGGCAAUGGCUACUUUCUGAGAAGAAGUGUUUUGUAGUCAGAAACUGAAUCACUGCUUAGAUUUGAAAUAAUUUCUUCCUUUGAAAUGGAAUCAGUGUCAUAUGAGGAAAACCCUUCCUGACAUUUCUUUGAAACGGAAAAGGGAGGGGAGGAGAGGAGAGCCAAUUUACUAAAAUGAAAAUUGUUUUAGUGUUCUCAGGUUCUGAUGUGUUCUGGUGGAAGCCCCCCUUUCGACAGAAUGAUGACUCCUGCUCAGGACAAAGCAGUUUGUCAAGUUGUAACUCCAGGAAGUUCGUAACUAAGCAAUAGGUCAGCUGUUGAAAAGUUCAGAUCUAAAGAUGCUCAUUUGGGAAACUUCUGACAAGAAGUUCUCUGAGGCCUGCUCAGCCUACACAGAAGAAUCUAUCAAGAGAAACCUUCAAGUCUCACAGAGGAGGAGAUAUUUAUGUGGUCUAUAUGGUCAAAUAUAUAUAUGUAUAUCGAAUUCUGUGAUCAGAUCAGAAAGCCAACUGUAUCCUCGGUUGCAUCAAGAGAAGAGUGACCAGCAGGUUGAAGGAUGUGAUUCUGUCCCUCUACUCUGCUCCACCUGGAAUACUGCAUCCAGUUCUGGAGCCCCCAACACAAGGAGGACAUGGAGUUGUUGAAGCAAGUCCAGAGAGCUGGCUAGCGUGUAAAACACUCUACAACACUCUGCAAAGAGUGUAAAAUGCUGCAAAACAGCCUAAUCUCUACUGUAGCAUUCUGCUUUGAUAUUGAUGAUAACUUGAUGAAGUAACACAUGAAAAACUGUUCCAGAAAGUGCAAGAGAGGAAGAAAGAAGAAACAAAGACAACAUACUUCUUUUUCCCUCAAAAAUCAGGGGACGAAUUCACUCUGGACCUCAGGUUAAGUUAUGAAGGAUCUGGCACCAACUGGGUAUCUUUGAGGCAACAUGAGCAACUGGAAGCACUUACUGCAUUCAAACUUGUCAGUUUUUCACCUGUGGUAUUUUCUGGUCAGGUCAAGAAGUGCUUUCAGUGGAACUACAACAUCUAGAACAAAAAUUUGACACAGGUUGCCCUCAAGGCACUCACUGAUCUGAAGGGGUAAAGCAUGAGCACUGUAACAAAGAAUCUGAAGAAAGACCCUAGAGAAGGUGAAGAUGGGACUAGAGAAGAAGAGGCUCCAUUGUACUCAACAGCUGCAUAAAAAGUUUUCUAUCAAUAGCCCUAACAGGGAAAGUGAGCUAUCAGGUGCACAGGUCUAGAGAAGCUAAGGAAUUUAUGGUAGAUAUAUCUAGAUUUCCAUAAUUAGGCUCUCAUUAAGUACCUAUAUCUUAAUCAGAUAUAAAACCCAGUAUAUCCAUGACUUUAUCCAGUCCCUUGAGCACAGAUGGACAGUAGAACUGACCUCCUAGUUUUGUAAAAUGACAAAAGUAUCAAAAUGCAUUAAAUUCUUAUUACUUCAUCAGGCCACACCAACCAUACUCUUCUCAAAAUAACAUUAAAUCCUACUUAUGGUUACCCAGUAGGUCUGCGUGCAAUUGCCUUGCUCAUUUGGAUGUAUCAGCUUCUUUCUAACAGCAGCUUGUUGAUCUUUAGGAAAUUUUAGCUGCAAGUAUGCAAAUCUGCUAUACUGAUCUAAAUAUUUCCUCUUCUUUUCACCUAAUAAAAUAGAAACACAU